UGAUGCAUACGACGUGUCUGCUGGUGUC
This 28-nucleotide non-coding RNA is filed under the name Mus musculus (house mouse). Lineage: Eukaryota; Metazoa; Chordata; Mammalia; Rodentia; Muridae. The record is from RNAcentral.